UACCUACGGGGGGCAGCAGUGGGGAAUCUUCCGCAAUGGGCGAAAGCCUGACGGAGCAACGCCGCGUGAUCGAAUGAAGGUCUUCGGAUCGUAAACCUCUGUCAGCAGGGAAGAACGGUCACUGUGCUAAUCAGCAGUGAAUUGACGGUACCUGCAAAGGAAGCACCGGCUAACUCCGUGCCAGCAGCCGCGGUAAUACGGAGGGUGCGAGCGUUAAUCGGAAUUACUGGGCGUAAAGCGCUCGUAGGCGGUAUGUCAAGUCAAGGGGUA
Molecule: ribosomal RNA, 270 nt
Filed under: uncultured bacterium
Lineage: Bacteria
Description: partial 16S ribosomal RNA
Rfam family: Bacterial small subunit ribosomal RNA
Source: RNAcentral